AUUGAACGCUGGCGGCAGGCCUAACACAUGCAAGUCGAGCGGAUGAGAAGAGCUUGCUCUUCGAUUCAGCGGCGGACGGGUGAGUAAUGCCUAGGAAUCUGCCUGGUAGUGGGGGACAACGUUUCGAAAGGAACGCUAAUACCGCAUACGUCCUACGGGAGAAAGCAGGGGACCUUCUGGCCUUGCGCUAUCAGUUGAGCCUAGGUCGGAUUAGCUUGUUGGUGAGGUAAUGGCUCACCAAGGCGACGAUCCGUAACGGGUCUGAGAGGAUGAUCAGUCACACUGGAACUGAGACACGGUCCAGACUCCUACGGGAGGCAGCAGUGGGGAAUAUUGGACAAUGGGCGAAAGCCUGAUCCAGCCAUGCCGCGUGUGUGAAGAAGGUCUUCGGAUUGUAAAGCACUUUAAGUUGGGAGGAAGGGCAGCUAGCGAAUACCUGGUUGUUUUGACGUUACCGACAGAAUAAGCACCGGCUAACUCUGUGCCAGCCGCCGCCGUAA
RNAcentral lists this ribosomal RNA (500 nucleotides) under uncultured bacterium. RNAcentral's name for it is "partial 16S ribosomal RNA". It matches the Rfam family "Bacterial small subunit ribosomal RNA", at positions 30 to 523 of the family's 1533-position model. The record is from RNAcentral.